CUCGCCGCCUCCCUCAGGGCUCGGUUAUCUCUGUGCCAGAAGAACUUCGAGUUCUAUUUGAGAGAUUUGGAGCUGUCAGGGACGUGUAUAUUCCCAAGGACUAUUACAGAGGGUCAUGGAUUCAAUGGAGCCUACACAACCUAAUGUUGCCACUACAAGACCAACCAUGAGACCUCCUCGUCCACCGCAGGUGAUAUCUUCUUCUAAUCCUAAUAAAAGA
Molecule: long non-coding RNA, 220 nt
Organism: Quercus lobata
Lineage: Eukaryota; Viridiplantae; Streptophyta; Magnoliopsida; Fagales; Fagaceae
Exons: 3
Source: RefSeq, a predicted model, not a curated record